RNAcentral lists this ribosomal RNA (460 nucleotides) under uncultured bacterium. Its description in RNAcentral is "partial 16S ribosomal RNA". It matches the Rfam family "Bacterial small subunit ribosomal RNA", at positions 337 to 795 of the family's 1533-position model. The record is from RNAcentral.
GCCUACGGGUGGCAGCAGUGAGGAAUAUUGGUCAAUGGGCGCGAGCCUGAACCAGCCAAGUAGCGUGAAGGAUGACUGCCCUACGGGUUGUAAACUUCUUUUAUAAAGGAAUAAAGUGAGGCACGUGUGCCUUUUUGUAUGUACUUUAUGAAUAAGGAUCGGCUAACUCCGUGCCAGCAGCCGCGGUAAUACGGAGGAUCCGAGCGUUAUCCGGAUUUAUUGGGUUUAAAGGGUGCGCAGGCGGAAUGUCAAGUCAGCGGUAAAAUUUCGGGGCUCAACCCCGUCGUGCCGUUGAAACUGGCGUUCUUGAGUGAGCGAGAAGUAUGCGGAAUGCGUGGUGUAGCGGUGAAAUGCAUAGAUAUCACGCAGAACUCCGAUUGCGAAGGCAGCAUACCGGCGCUCAACUGACGCUCAUGCACGAAAGCGUGGGUAUCGAACAGGAUUAGAUACCCUAGUAGUC